GGGGUGAUCUUGAUCUCGUUGGAUUCUAUUUUUCAUCAAAAAUCUUACUGUAGGCUCAAUAUAGAUCGAAUCUUGAGGUAUCAAAUCCUAACAAUCUCCAUUUCGAUUUGAUAUUCGACCUCCUCCUAACUCCAAGGGCUUCUGGAUCUCCUCGCCCUCAUGCCUUGGGACAAUCGCCUGCUGAUCAUGGAUAGACAAACAUGGGAGU
This 208-nucleotide long non-coding RNA is filed under the name Elaeis guineensis (African oil palm). RNAcentral's name for it is "long non-coding RNA (EGUI_LNC020718)". Lineage: Eukaryota; Viridiplantae; Streptophyta; Magnoliopsida; Arecales; Arecaceae. The record is from RNAcentral.